Molecule: ribosomal RNA, 475 nt
Filed under: Thalassiosira gravida
Lineage: Eukaryota; Bacillariophyta; Thalassiosirophyceae; Thalassiosirales; Thalassiosiraceae
Description: partial Bacterial large subunit ribosomal RNA
Rfam family: Bacterial large subunit ribosomal RNA
Source: RNAcentral
ACCGUAGCAGGUGAUAGUCCUGUACAUGAAGGUCAUUGUGGUUGGGUGGUUGUUGUACCCGAGUAGCAGCGGGCUCGUGAAAUCUGCUGUGAAUCUGCCGGGACCACUCGGUAAGCCUGAAUACUUGAUAUGACCGAUAGCGGAUUAGUACCGUGAGGGAAUGGUGAAAAGUACCCCGGGAGGGGAGUGAAAGAGUUCCUGAAACCGGUCGCAUGCAAGCCGUCAGAGCCUGUGUGGUGAUGGCGUGCCUUUUGAAGAAUGAGCCUGCGAGUCAGCGGCAUGUCGCGAGGUUAACCCGUGUGGGGUAGCCGUAGGGAAACCGAAUCCUAACGAGGGUGACAUAGUGGCAUGUCUUGGACCCGAAGCGGAGUGAUCUACCCAUGGCCAGUGUGAAGCGAUGGUAAGACGUCGUGGAGGCGCGAACCCACUUAGGUUAAAAACUGAGGGGAUGAGUUGUGGGUAGGGGUGAAAGGCC